ACCAUUGAUGAGAUUCACCAAGAGAUUUGCCAAGGCUCCUUCGACAGUUUCUUAUAAACCAAGAUCUCUACCACCUAGAAGGAAAAGGGAAAACUAGCACUGAAACCCUUCAGUCCAAGUUUCACAAUGUCAAAUGCAUAUUGGCAAUCCUUCAUCCUUGCUGUGCCAAAAUCCUGGAAUUCACUGCCUAACAACAUUAGGAGAGUAUCUGCAGCAUCUGGACUUUGGUAGUUCAAGAGCUUCUCACAGCUACUUUCUCAUAAGGAAUCUGUGUGGGCAUAAAUGAAUAAAAGCUCGGCUGGUGAAUUCUAAUUUGAUGUUUUUAUUUCCCUCAGAUGUCAGGCUGGCUCAGUGGUAGCACUCUCCUGGUUGGAAGAUUGGGAGUUCAAGCCAAAUUCUAGGCAGCAAAGGAUGCAGUACGUUGCUGAGAAACACGGUGGCUGCAGUGUCUACCAUCUACAAGAUGCACUGUUGUUACUCACUUAAGCUACUCCAACAGCACCUUCCGAACAGAUGAUCUGUACCAGCAAGAAAGACAAGCAUGGGUGCUCCCUGGCUUGCCGAAUGUUUCCAGCGUUUUCUGUUCAUAAUUUCAUGAUGCUUAUACCGUGGCACCCCGGACUUGAUGCUGAGGCCAACUUCAGAACGAGAUGCAACACGUUCGGCACUUACAUUCUGCCGUGCGCAGGCG
Molecule: long non-coding RNA, 691 nt
Organism: Pristis pectinata (smalltooth sawfish)
Lineage: Eukaryota; Metazoa; Chordata; Chondrichthyes; Rhinopristiformes; Pristidae
Exons: 3
Source: RefSeq, a predicted model, not a curated record